AUUUCCCAGAGAUACAAAUGGUGUGGAGUGGAGGGCACAGCACCCCUGGGUAUUCAUUAUUCUGGGUGAUCACUUGGGAGUGGUCAAUUUGAAACCACCGUGGCAGUAAGAAAGAAACCAACGUGAUUUGAAUAGAAGGUGACGGCUCUUGAGCUUCUUUUUGCUGAAUGUCAUUAAACAUGGACGGACUGAGGUGAGGACAAAGUGAUUCUCCCUUCUGGAGGAUGCAGCAAAGUGCUGCCUGCCAUCUUGGAAGCACAGAGUAGCCUUCACCACACUCUAAUCCCAUCAGAGCCUUGAUCUUGGACUUGCCAGCCUUCAGAACAGUCUUGCCUCAUCACUGCCAUGACAGGGGGGUCCAAUGUGAGGAUUCUGGUGUCUAUGCCAAGCAUCUCUUUUCCAACGUAGAUCUGAUUUCUUAACAUAGCCAACAGCAAGUCAACAUCAGCUUUGCAGAGAAAAGCAGGUAUUAAACGAACAUAAAAUAUUAUUUGGUGGUUAUAAACAAAAUAUGUAAUUAUAAGUAUAAAGCUUUUUCUAAUGUUUAAGUCAAGAAGUUAUCCAUAAUUGUAAUGGUUGUUCCAUUGUUUGAAUAAGCAUAUAAAUUACAAGUUUGUGACUGUAUUAGUUAACAUUUACUGAGCAUUGACCACGUGCUACACAUUGUCUUAUCCACUUUAGGCAUAUGUUGUCUCAUUUAAUUCUCCAACAACUCCUUGGGUUAGGUGAUAUUUUUGUGCCCAUUUUAUAGAAAGUAGAGCUAAAGUUUAGAGACCUGCCUAAGUCAAGUAUUGCAUCAUGCAUACUUCCUCUCCUUGUGGGGCGUUUGUUUGAAUAUGAGACUCCUUAGUAACUUUGGAGUCUAAUGUCAAGGGUCAAAUUUCUGUCAUGAAAUCAUUUAUGCAUUGCAAGAUUGAACAAGAAGUAAAAGCUGAAGUAGGGUGUUUGAAACCUAUGCAAUGAAACGGUAAACUAAAAAAUAGUGAGAAUUAAUUAAUUAAUCACAGAAAGACAGUCACAGCUGCUUUGGAUCAUGCUGGAUUUAUUUAGCAGAAGUAGCAUAAUUCUUUAGAACAGAAAGCAAAAGCAGAGACAUUGAUUGAAACUGCAGGGGGAAUUUUGGUAAGCAGAAUAUAAUUGCUCAUUAUUUUUAUUUGUAUCUUCCCAUUUCCUUGUUUCCCUUUCCCUUUGU
RNAcentral lists this long non-coding RNA (1192 nucleotides) under Homo sapiens (human). RNAcentral's name for it is "novel transcript". The record is from RNAcentral. Lineage: Eukaryota; Metazoa; Chordata; Mammalia; Primates; Hominidae.